RNAcentral lists this ribosomal RNA (441 nucleotides) under Triticum aestivum (bread wheat). Its description in RNAcentral is "partial small subunit ribosomal RNA". Lineage: Eukaryota; Viridiplantae; Streptophyta; Magnoliopsida; Poales; Poaceae. The record is from RNAcentral.
AUGAGCUUGAAUGGCGGCGCUGGUCCAUGGCAGCGCUGGUGGUCCUGCAGUGAGGCCUCGGGCGCCAUGGCGGCGGGAGGAGGCAGCUUCGGCCUGAAUUGGACGACGGGGCGAGCAGCAAAGCAGCCUCGGGUUCAGGUGUUGGCCGCAGUCAGGCGAUCAAUGGGCACGGCGGCAAGAAUGAGCAGACAGGGCGGCGUGGAACUUGGCGGGGCGGCGGAGCCGAGGCCUUGGGAGACGGCAGAGGACUUGAAGGAGCAGGCGGGGCUUGGGGCAGCGCUUGGGCUGCGGCACGAAGACGACGGCGGCGACGCAUACGGGCUCCUGCUCCUGCGAGAUGCUGGCUCCGCGGAAGGCAGCUGGCUACGGCCAGAGGAAGGAGGAGGUCAUUGGGCGGCAGUGGAGGCACUGGUGGUGGUGAGAGGAUGGGGUCGAGGAUGA